Molecule: long non-coding RNA, 365 nt
Filed under: Ananas comosus (pineapple)
Lineage: Eukaryota; Viridiplantae; Streptophyta; Magnoliopsida; Poales; Bromeliaceae
Description: long non-coding RNA (ACOM_LNC039310)
Source: RNAcentral
AACAGGGUCUAACAACUAAACUUACGUGCCAUCAGCACAAUCUGAUGCCAAAAUAGCAAUCUGGGUUCACCGUCAACCCCGACGGCACCCGACAGUCCGGAACAGCCUAGACACUGCUGUAAAAAUAAGCCCAGCAUCUCAGCACGAGCGUAAACAUAUUCUACACAAUCCCAAAUAUUCACCACCCACAAAUUGCGGUGAUACAAUCAAAUUACGGCUCCUAGAGUUUAAUCAGGUAGUUUUAAUAUAUGACGGUGUAGAAGCGUCAGUUUUCUCCUAAGUCAAAUCCAAGUCCAACAUAUAUUAUUUAUCUAAUUCAUUUCAGCAUGCUCCAAAUUCAGAUUGCUUCUAACAUGAUAAUCGAU